This 301-nucleotide ribosomal RNA is filed under the name uncultured bacterium. RNAcentral describes it as "partial 16S ribosomal RNA". It matches the Rfam family "Bacterial small subunit ribosomal RNA", at positions 509 to 807 of the family's 1533-position model. The record is from RNAcentral.
CAGUAGCCGCGGUAAUACAGAGGGUGCGAGCGUUAAUCGGAUUUACUGGGCGUAAAGCGUGCGUAGGCGGCUUCUUAAGUCGGAUGUGAAAUCCCUGAGCUUAACUUAGGAAUUGCAUUCGAUACUGGGAAGCUAGAGUAUGGGAGAGGAUGGUAGAAUUCCAGGUGUAGCGGUGAAAUGCGUAGAGAUCUGGAGGUAUACCGAUGGCGAAGGCAGCCAUCUGGCCUAAUACUGACGCUGAGGUACGAAAGCAUGGGGAGCAAACAGGAUUAGAUACCCCAGUAGUCCCUGUCUCUUAUAC